GGCUUUAUAGUCAAUAUUAAUGAUACUAGACUGCAAUUCUAGAGUAGGUAUACCCUAAAGUCU
RNAcentral lists this transfer RNA (63 nucleotides) under Urochela rubra. Its description in RNAcentral is "tRNA-Cys". Lineage: Eukaryota; Metazoa; Arthropoda; Insecta; Hemiptera; Urostylididae. The record is from RNAcentral.